This 198-nucleotide unclassified non-coding RNA is filed under the name plant metagenome. RNAcentral's name for it is "partial contains small subunit ribosomal RNA, internal transcribed spacer 1, and 5.8S ribosomal RNA". The record is from RNAcentral.
UUUCCGUUGGUGAACCAGCGGAGGGAUCAUUAUCGAGUUUGCAACUCCCAAACCCUAGGUGAACUUACCACACCGCUGCUUCGGCGAACGCUCGUCGACGCCCAGCACGAUAAACUCUGUCUUCUAUAAGUAGGUCUGAGUGGCGAAAUGCAAAAAACAAAUGAAUAAAAACUUUCAACAACGGAUCUCUUGAUUCUG